AUCUGAGAGCUCAAGCGGAACGCCCGGUCUCAUCGUGUCCUGCUAUCCAGAUCUCUGGAUUUACCUGCGUUCUCUGUCUUCAGCUCCUCAAUCUGGCUUUGACUGAACUGAAGCUUCACCCUCUGCUCCACCACCAUGUCCCUCAGCUCGGUCCACACAUCGGGCUGGUUUGGAUUCAGCUCUGAGCUCUCCGCACAACUCUGGUUCUGAAGUCUGUUCAGUCCAGACUGCGCGUCCCCCACUGUGAGCUGGUCAUCGCCUCUCUGGAGCUGAACACAAGACAAUCAGAACCAAAGCAGGACCACACUGACCCUCAUCCUGAGAUAAUUACAGUGUAUAGCGUCUCUCACUGGAGUCCUUUUAUAUGGUCACUUUAUAGUGAGUGUCACUGUAGGGACUGGCAUGGCCUAAAUACACAUCAGGUCUCAUGAUCUUGUUUAACUUCCAUUCACCCACACACAAAAUUAUUUAUCAUCAUUUUAUUUUUUUCAGAAAGUGGCACUGCAAUAUUAUGACUGAACACUAGAUGCCAGUAUUGUACACCUAGUGAAGGCUGGCAAGACCCUUCAAAGCUGAGAGGGAGGAGCUGGAGAGCAGAAGGAGGAGGAACCUCAAGGCUGCUUUCAGAGUGAAUGUCAGAUUAAGCUGCACAUUUUCUCAAUUCAUAACAGACUUACUACCAUUUGGCAUUAUUUAAUUCUGUUACUUUGGGUUUGAGUUUUAGUUCAGGUUCCGUUUUUUUUUUCCGGCUGCAUUACGGAAGCCAUGAAGUAUUAAACAGAUAAAAGAAAGAAAUUACGUUCCUGAGGAUAAGUUCUACUUCAUCAUUACACCACUCUGCCAGAGGGGCAAUGUAAAAAAAAAAAAAAAAAACUGAGCGCAUCAGCUUU
Molecule: long non-coding RNA, 890 nt
Organism: Pygocentrus nattereri (red-bellied piranha)
Lineage: Eukaryota; Metazoa; Chordata; Actinopteri; Characiformes; Serrasalmidae
Exons: 2
Source: RefSeq, a predicted model, not a curated record